AUGUGUUUGUAUUCCCCCAAGGACUAAUCCACUUCCAGUUCAACCCGGUCCCUGACAAGCCAGCAGUCGCGCUCGCUGCUCUAAGUAGCCAGAACCCUGGAGCUAUUACUAUUGCCAAUGCAGUCUUUGGAUCAAAGCCACCUAUCUCAAAUGAUGUACUAGCUAAGGCCUUUCAAGUGCAAAAGGGGACAAUUGAUUGGCUUCAAGCUCAGUUUUGGGAGAACAACCACAACUGAAAAAAUAAAUCAAGUUACGGUUCAUUGUAUGGGAAUAUAAUGUUUAUUUACAUUUUACAUACUACUCUAUGUAUUUGUUUUUUCUAGACUUUCAGCUGAUAAUAAAAUAAAUGGAUUGUAUUUAUGUACUAUAAUUGUAAUUGUGUCCCAACUGUGGUUCUACCACCAUCUCCUUAAUCGAAAGUGCAUGUAUUGUAUAUGGCACUCUCUCGUUUCCCAUUUUAUUGAGAUGGUUCAUAUAUUAAGCCUUCUCUACAACUGCCUACCGUUCAUAUUAUAAGCCAUCUCUAGAACGAUUGACAUAAUUACACCACUCCUAAAAUUCCACUAUUAUCAGGAAUGAUUAUCAUAAAAGAAUUGUCCUUAAAGAUCACAUUUCAUGGGUGGAUUCUUAUGCCAACCGUUCUUGAAAAAGAGAAGAUUUCUACUCAAAAGGUGCUAGCUAGAAUGGUCGAGGACCAAAAAAAAUUCAUAGAUUUUCAAAUAUAGUCAUUAAGUGACAAGCUUUAUAUCAAAUUUGUAAAGCCCAACAAAAUCUAAAACUUUAUAGGUAACAACUUUUUAUUUAAGACCAUUUACAGACCUAAAUAUAUGUUUUGUCUUCGAAGAGUUGAAAAUCUAGACUUUCAAAUUCCAUUUCUAGUGGCAGUGGGCUUCCAUUUUCCACCGUCAACACUUCUAUAAAAAACUCUUAUAUAAUUAUAUAGUGGUUUGAUAUUUUUAUACAUGGCAUACCAGUAAUAUAAAUUCAACGUUAUGCUUAAUUGGUCUCUUUGCUUCUAGCACACAACGUUGAUGUUGUUGGAUUGUGAUAGUUGCGUAAACAAGAAAAAUAUUUCAUUGGACUACCUAAUUAUGCUUUGCUACACAUACCGCUUUUAUUCCGAACAUCAUGGAGGGAGUGGUAGUCUUACAUGAGACUAUUCAUGAACUGCAUCGAAAGAAGCAAAAUGGUGUAAUUCUCAAGAUAGACUUUGAGAAGGCUUAUGAUAAAAUGAGGUGGAGUUUUGUUCAAUAAACUUUGCGGAUGAAAGGUUUCUUAGAUAAACGGUGCUCUUGGAUUAAUGCUUUCAUUAGGGGUGGUCAUGUGGCAAUCAAAACAAAUGAUCAGUUGGGACAGUUUUUCAAACGAAAAAGGGGCUACGACAAGGUGAUCCCUUAUCUCCUCUCUUGUUUAAUAUUGUAGUUGACAUGUUGGCUUAUUAACCAAUAGAGCGAAACAAGUGGGUCAAUUAUCCGGCUUGGUGCCACAUUUGGUGGAUGGUGGCUUGUCGAUUCUCCAAUAUGCGGAUGACACCAUUCUGUUUAGGGUUCACGAUUUCGAGAAAGCAGUGAAUACAAAAAUGCUUUUAUGUGCUUUUGAGCAGUUAUCAGGGCUCAAAAUUAAUUUCCACAAAAGUGAGGUUUAUUGCUUUGGAGAACCAAAAACUCAAGAACAUCAAUACGCACAGCUCUUUGGUUGUAGAAAAGGGGAUUACCCGUUUAGAUACUUAGGUUUACCAAUGCAUUAUAGAAAACUAAGUGUGGCAGAUUGGAAGAUAACCGAGAACGAAUUUGAAAAGAAAUUAUCCAGCUGGAAAGGGAAAUACAUGUUCGUGGGUGGAAGGCUAGUUCUUAUUAACUCUACCCUUACAAGCCUUGCGAUGUUUAUGAUGUCUUUUUUUGAGAUCCCAAGAGGUGUUUUGGAAAAAAUGGACUAUUACAGAUCGCGGGUUUUUUUGGCAAGGGGAGGAUAAUAAGAAAACGUAUAGACUAACCAAGUGGAGUAUCAUCUGUCAACCAAGGGAGGUGGGGGUUUAGGGGUGAAAAACAUUGAUACACAAAACAAAUGCCUCUUAAGCAAAUGGUUGUUUAAACUUCUGAAUGAGGAGGGUUUAUGGCAAACCAUGUUGUAGAGGAAAUACUUGCAACAACAUACAUCACAAGCUCAACGUAGACCCUCUGAUUCGCAUUUCUGGAAGGGGCUUCUAAAAGUUAGAGAUAACUUCCUAAACUUUGGAUCCUUUCAACUUAACAUUGGCACACAUAUUAGGUUUUGGGAGGACAAAUGGUUGAGGAUAGGCAUUCUAAAAGAAAUAUACCCGCAACUAUAUGCAUUGGUUCGACAAAAAAAUGUGGUGGUUGCUAAUAUCUUCCAAACCAUUCCGCUGAAUAUUUCUUUUCGUCGGGGUCUAGUGGGGCAGCUACGCGAACAAUGGAUGGAUUUAGUGGCUCAUCUUGUUCAUGUUCGAUUAAACAUAGCGAGUGACACGUUCCAUUGGGACUUGUCGACGGAUGGAUCCUUUAGUGUUCAUUCGAUGUACAAGGUGCUAAUAACUAAUGUCAAUGUGGCGUGGCACAAAGAAAUUUGGAAGGCUAAGAUUCCUUUGAAGAUUAAAAUCUUCAAGUGGUAUUUAUAUAGUGGUGUUGUACUUACCAAAGAUAAUUUACUCAAGCGUAAUUGGAAGGGAAAUGCAAAAUGUUCUUUUUGUACCCAGAAUGAGACAAUUGAUCAUCUUUUUUCCACAACCAACUUGCUAAAUUUAUUUGGUGUUUAGUUCGAAUCAUAUAUGGUGUUCGCCACCAAACAAUAUCAGACAUAUCUUUGGUUCUUGGUUAACUGGUCUAGAUAAUAGAAUGAGAAGUCACUUUAUUCUAGCAGCUUCGGCUAUAUGUUGGGCAAUCUGGUUGAGCAGGAAUGAUGCAGUGUUUGAUAUUGCUCCAAUAAAAUCUUCUUUGCAGGUGGUUUUUGGGGCUACGCAUUGGCUCCACUUCUGGACUCAACUACAACUUAGACAGGAUGAUCAAGAACUAAUAAUCAAGGAUGGCGUAGAUUGGAGGAGUUGAUGAUGCAGAUUUUUAGACAUCAUGGAUGGGGAUCCGCAUUUAGACUUUGUCUUUAGUCUCGUUUCGCCGCACUAUGUUUUGCUUUUCUCUGAGUUCUCAUAUAGUGAUAUUCCUAUAUGAGUCUGUCAUAUUCGGUUAUAGUCUCUUUGUGACAAAGGCCGGGAACUUUCAAUUCCCAUUAUCUAAAAAAUGUACAUAGAAAGAGUCAACUCACAAAAAUAUAGAAAUAGUCACCAAUGCUUGUUUGUCUUGUCUGUCAGCUCCACACCAAACCAACAUUUGUCGUACACAUUUUAAUAGAUCAAGCACUUGAUAGCUUCUUUCAAUUGUCAUAUUAAAAAUUUAGAUUGCUGCUAGGUCCAUAUUGUUUUUCUUGAACAAAUUUACUUUUAUUUUUGUCAUCUGAAGAAAUGUUCAAAAUAUAAAUUAUACAUCAUAAUGAGUUAUACAAAUUUGUAGUUGAAAACCUUUUCAUAUGAAUUAAUUUACUGCUUUAAAAUGUGAUUUUUAAAUUGUCUUUGUCGAGUGUUAAAAAACACUCGGCAAAGAGCUUCUUUGCCGAGUGUUUUCUUUUACCGAGAGUUUUUUGCUUGGCACUCGGAAAAAACACUCGGCAAAACAAUUGGCACUCGGCAAAAAGCAGAAUUCCGGUAGUGGCCUUUUAUAUUAUUUAGAUGGCCACGUUCAGUUGUUACUAUAGCUAAUUAUAGACGAAGGAAAUUCGGAUAUGAGACGCAGGUCAAUAGAAAUUAAUAAUUUUUCACCAGCUGUCCAAUAGAGUCCGAUGAAAACUAAGUGAUUUGGAGCUAUUUCAUAGCGGCAUUUCGUUCUUCCUUUCUCACGACUCUACUCUCCACACAUCUAGCUCCCCAUGCUCGCGUCGUUGCUCUAUGACACCUCGCACCCGUUUGCACCAACACCGACUUCUCUAUCUCGAGCAGUGUCCACCAUCGUUCUCGUAUGUGUCUAGAAAAGUGAGUUUAAUUUUUGUCGGCCACCCACGCACGCAAUUUGAAUUUAUUAAGCUCAUAAGUAUUGAUCAUUGCAUGGUUAAUUUAAUAUUAGUUUGGUCAACCUAGUUACAAUAUAAUAUUUGUUGGUUAGUUUUUUAUAAUUAGAUUUUACAUUUAUCUACUAGCAAUUUUUUGUGUUUAAAUAUAAUACGGUAUUAUCAAAUAAUUUAAUUUUUAAAAGCAUAUAAAAUAUCGAUAGGUUCAUAAAUUGUAUGUCAAUCGUUUCGAUCGGCAUACUUCAUAUGUGCCUCACAUGUGAGAUAUAUUGUUUUAGAAUCAUUUCUAUUUGGACAGUUUUAUGACAACUGACUAUAUGCUAUUUAUGGACAAUCUAGGUUUGCCGAGGGUGUGUAAAGGAACAUGGUGAAAAGAUAAUAAAAUUAUGCAUAAGCAACUUAAUAUUUUUAUAUAUGUCAUAUCAUCACUACUAGAAAAAUGGUCUUUAAUUUACAAACAACGAGGUGUGUUGUUACUAAAAAUGGCAAUGGAGCGUUGAUUCGUGAUUUUCCGAGGAGAAUUCCUUCAUUAGAGGAUGAGAAGUUUUUCCCCCACGGGAAUGUAAAUGGGGAAUAAUUCUCCCCGACGAGUAAACAGGGAUAGAGAUGGCCAGGGAAUUAUUUCACAUCCCGGUUUCCCUUGGGAGCGUUAAACUUGCACAUGGCAAUGAUGUCAUCUAACCGUUAAUAAUAAAAAUAAAUAAUUACCAUAUUAAGAGAUCACUUAUUAUACAAAUAUGUUCAUUUUGAUGUAUGCAUAACAAUUUCUUACAUCAGAUAAUGUGUCUAAGUAAAAGUGUUUUGUAUUAAUAACAAAGAACGUAUGUCCUAAUUAUAAUUUAAUCAGGGACGAGUACCCUGUGGGGGAUUUAUCCUGUGGGGAAUGAGGAUGGGUAAAAAAGAUAUCCCCUAUUGAGAAAAAAAUUGUCACGGAAACGGGAUAGAGAGCUAUUCUCCAACAAGAAAUUUUCCGUUGCCAUCGUUAAUUGUUUCGGUUGGUUUGUUGUGGAACUGAAAGAUGUAUUUAUUCCCCAAUUCACAAAAGCAAAAAAAUGGUCAAAAAGUAAACACUAGGAAAAAUAAUCUAAUCUGACUCGUCAAUUGGUCAUGGAUGAUGAUACGCAGAUUGUUGGAUAUAGUUACGACGCUAUAUGAGGUGCAAAAAGUAAUUAAAGAUAUUACUCUCUACGUACUUUUUUAAUUGCCGCGGUUUAGUUUAAAAAUUAACUAGCAAGCAACAAAUAUUCGAGAACGGAGGUAGUAUAUACGAAGGUGGUGUGCUUUAAUUUCUCGCUGUUGACUUCUUUUUUUGGGCUGGGUGGGGGGGGGGAGGGGUGACUCUUUCAAUAUAUGUUGGUGAGCACAAGAUUAGAGACAUGUUUGUUUCGCUGUCUAACUUACUACACAUUGUCAAACUUUUCUGUUUAAAAUUAGUUCUUCAAUUCGGACCACUAAUCUUAAGCAAAUAGACCCUAGAUGGUUCAAUAAACAUUUUUUCUUGUUUAGCCAACUAUCACAGUCCAGCAACGGCAACACGGUCUUCAACAAAAUUGAAAGGACAGAGUACACGAAAAGUAUGGUAGGUUUAAACGUUCAAUUAAGAUGCUGGGCAGGUUCUAGAUGCUGGAGACUACUUCAAGUCGCCUGAUUACUAGACAUUUUAAAAUUUGGUUCACGUACUAUGUGAUUACUAGAAAUCUUCAACACGUAUGCAUGGUUUAAACACUGAAAUAAGAUAACCUGUAUUGUGUCAUCAGCAGGUCCGGGCUGCUAGAGACUAUUUCUUCAGGUCGGCUGAUAUGUUCAACCAAAGACUUAUUCAGCCACUGAUAUGUACACGUCGCCACAUGCGCUGUGGCAGGCUAUAUAACCUCACCAUCUCCAUGCCCAAAGCAUCAACAACAUACACACAAGCAAAACAAAAAGCUAAGAAGCUCCGUAGCUAAAUUCAGAUAUUACAAACACAAAAAAGGAGUGCAGAACCAAAAUGGCUGCCUCGACCUUCCUUCUCAUUGCUUUUCUAGCAUUGAUCACUUCUCAGGCCAUUGCCUCUGAUCCUAGCCCGCUCCAAGACUUCUGUGUUGCCGAUAAAGACUCUCCGGGUAUGAGUGCUCUCCUUUUGACUCAAGCAGUGUUCUUAUAAUAUAUACCUGAUUAAAUAAGGAUCAUUUGUUCAAACACACAUCUACAUACAAUAAGCAUUUCGGGGUAUAUAUAUGCAUGUCCUAUUAACCUGUUCUCCAUCUAACUGUUUGUCUUCGUCUAUGCAUGCAUCCAGUGAAGGUGAAUGGAUUUGUUUGCAAGGACCCUAUGGCUGUGAACGCUGACGACUUCUUCAAGGCUGCAAAACUUGACCAGCCAAGGGACACCACCAAAAGCAAGGUGGGAUCCAACGUUACUCUAAUCAAUGUCAUGCAGCUGCCUGGACUCAACACGUUGGGGAUCUCGUUGGCUCGCAUUGACUACGCACCAUUAGGUCAGAAUCCUCCACACACACACCCACGUGCCACUGAGAUCCUCACUGUGCUUGAGGGGACACUCUACGUCGGAUUUGUCACCUCCAACCAAGCUGAUAGAAGCAACAGGCUAUUUGCCAAGGUUCUCAACAAGGGCGAUGUGUUUGUAUUCCCCCAAGGACUAAUCCACUUCCAGUUCAACCCAGUACAUGACAAGCCAGCAGUCGCGCUCGCUGCUCUAAGUAGCCAGAACCCUGGAGCUAUUACUAUUGCCAAUGCAGUCUUUGGAUCAAAGCCACCUAUCUCGGAUGAUGUCCUAGCUAAGGCCUUUCAAGUGCAAAAGGGGACAAUUGAUUGGCUUCAAGCUCAGUUCUAGGAGAACAACCACUACUGAAAAA
This 6925-nucleotide long non-coding RNA is filed under the name Zea mays. RNAcentral's name for it is "long non-coding RNA (ZMAY_LNC002207)". Lineage: Eukaryota; Viridiplantae; Streptophyta; Magnoliopsida; Poales; Poaceae. The record is from RNAcentral.